Molecule: long non-coding RNA, 1972 nt
Filed under: Sinocyclocheilus grahami
Lineage: Eukaryota; Metazoa; Chordata; Actinopteri; Cypriniformes; Cyprinidae
Description: lncRNA (ENSSGRG00000041377.1)
Source: RNAcentral
AAAUGUAUAUCUAUUUAUGUAAGAAUAAAUCAUGUUUGGUUUCUCCAACAGGAGAGGAGGAUGAAUAUGACAGAAAGACAGGUUCUUCUGGGACAGAAUAUGAUGACAUUGAGGGACAAGCCAAUGGAAUCUCUCCUUCUCAAACCCACCAUGAUGAUGACCUCAACCUCCCUCUCCUUCCCAAGAGACCCGAGAACAUUCUUGAUCAGGACACCUAUGAAUUGGAGAUAGAGAAACAGGAGGACUAUGAUGAUGUCGAGGCUGCAGCCAAUGAAAAUGCAGGGACGAUAUGCACACAAGCACAUGUAGAUGUAGACGUGGAUGAAGGUGCAGAUUCAGAUUUAGAUGCAGGUCUAGUUGCAAAUGCAGAUGCGGUAUUGGUGACCACAGAGGUAGAAGUUCACGCUCCAGCAGAGUAAUGAAGCAGCCAACGUGAGCAAAUUGUUCUUUUAAGUUAAUAUUAAUAAGAUUGUAUGUUCUUAUAUCAGUAGAAUAUUGGGAAGAAAAUAUGGAUGAACAAAUGCUGUUUAAUGAUGCUAGCUCUCAAGAUGUAUAAAAGAAGGGACACAUUUGGAAUAACAAAAUCUUUAAUUAUCGUCACAACAGCGUAUGAACUGAUGGAAAGAGCUAAUUUUUGUGCCGACAAACCAGUCAAACGUUUUGUCAUUCUUUAGGUUUUGAUGUGUAGUUUUGAUCUGUGUGCUUUUAGUCUGUUAAAGCUUAUGAGCAGGCCCACAUGAACUCAGAAAACCUUGAAAUUAAAAUGUAAUAACAGGUUAUCGCUAUCUUGUUCAUUUGAUUUGGUAAUAUCUUUUAAAAAUUUACAAAAUCAAUGCUUUUAAAAUUUUCAAGACCAGGUUACGCAAUGUUAUCACAAACAGGAGGCCAAAGUUCACUUGGUUCACCCAACAAUUAAAAUUUGCUGAAAAUUUCCAACAUGAGUUUGGUCACUACAGGUUUGGAAAAAAAUGAGCAUGACGUCACUUCACCAAUGGAUCCUCUGCUGUGAAUGAGUGCUAUCAGAAUCCAAAAGUAAUCCACUCGACUCCAUCAAUUAAUGUCUUCUGAAGUGAAAAGAUUCGUGUUUAUAAAAAACAAAUCCAUCAAGAGAUUUUUAACUUCAAAUAUUGCUUCAGACAAAAAUACAAGUCCAUAAUCUACUAACAUAUUUAAACUGUUUUGGACUUUUUUUUUUUGUCUUCUGAUUCAGAUGACAUGACUUUUUAGAGGACUUGUAUUUUAGCUGGAAGCAGCAGUUUGAAGUUAAAAACUUCUCCAUGGGUUUGUUUCUUGGUUUCUGGACUGGAGUCAUGUGGAUUAAUUGUGGGUCAUUGUGAUGUUCUUAUCAGCUGUUUGGACUCUCAUUCUGACGGCACACGUUCACGUUCAGAGGAUCCAUUGGUGAGCAAGUGAUAUAAUGCUACAUUUCUCCAGAUCUGUUCCCAUUAAGAAACAAACUCAUCUACAUCUUGGAUGGCAUGAGAGUGAGUACAUUUUCAGCAAAUUUUAAUUUUGGGGUGAACUAUUUCUAUAAUACACAAUGUAUAUAUCAGAUAAAUGUUCAACUGUCCAUUUAGUUUCCAUUCAUUUUCUGGAUCAAUAAUAAGGCCAAUGUUAGCAUGUAGAAAUAUAUUUAGUUAUUUAGUUGAAAAAAGCGCGAACUCAUUCGGGAGUGGUGACUUUCCACGUAUUCCCAACUUCUGAGCCUGCUCGCCUGAAGUUAUGGUUGAUUGCUCUUCGGCUGGAUAUCAACACACCCAUUAAUGUAAACUACGCCAGAGGGCGUACACACCUCACGCAUCGGAUGCCGUGCGCGCGCUCAAGGAAGUUGGACAUAGUGGUGUAUUAGAGGUAAAAAAUGAUAUAAAUACUGUUCGGUUUCUUGCACAAACCGAUCGUUUCAUGUCUUAGGACAUCAAUGUGUCGUCACGAGCCGCAGGGUUUAAUUUGGAUUUGUCUGUGCAUGUUUUUU